This 29-nucleotide non-coding RNA is filed under the name Mus musculus (house mouse). The record is from RNAcentral. Lineage: Eukaryota; Metazoa; Chordata; Mammalia; Rodentia; Muridae.
UGGAGAUUGUUAUGACCCUGUGGUAUGUC